AGAUACAUAUGCAUAUUCGUUGAUAAAAAAGAAGAAGAAAAAAAGAUGCAUAUGCGUAUAACGUAUUCAAGUUAUAGUUUUCCAUGUUUGUUGCUUUGAGGUAUUUAUAAUUACAAUAUAGACUUAUUCUCGAACCACGACACUCGCAUGUUGAAGCAUUUUUAGCAGAGUUAUGGUGGUCCUAAUAGUGAUAUCACGGAUGAACCAAGAAAAUGGCGGUAAAUUAAAAGGAGGAUAUGGCUGAAAGUAUUGGUCCAUUGUUACUUUCGAUGCAAUCCUUCCUUGUCCGCCACUACAUAUUUUGUAUUCUUGCGGACUCUUCGGCUCAUUGUGCCUGCACAAGCGUACUGAAUCUACAUAUAGUGGCUCCACUUUAUAGCUACCAUCGAAUACU
This 394-nucleotide long non-coding RNA is filed under the name Arabidopsis lyrata. Its description in RNAcentral is "long non-coding RNA (ALYR_LNC003058)". Lineage: Eukaryota; Viridiplantae; Streptophyta; Magnoliopsida; Brassicales; Brassicaceae. The record is from RNAcentral.